RNAcentral lists this ribosomal RNA (568 nucleotides) under Aspergillus fumigatus. RNAcentral describes it as "eukaryotic LSU rRNA". The stretch from base 204 to 357 matches the Rfam family "5.8S ribosomal RNA". Lineage: Eukaryota; Fungi; Ascomycota; Eurotiomycetes; Eurotiales; Aspergillaceae. The record is from RNAcentral.
CCUGCGGAAGGAUCAUUACCGAGUGAGGGCCCUCUGGGUCCAACCUCCCACCCGUGUCUAUCGUACCUUGUUGCUUCGGCGGGCCCGCCGUUUCGACGGCCGCCGGGGAGGCCUCGCGCCCCCGGGCCCGCGCCCGCCGAAGACCCCAACAUGAACGCUGUUCUGAAAGUAUGCAGUCUGAGUUGAUUAUCAUAAUCAGUUAAAACUUUCAACAACGGAUCUCUUGGUUCCGGCAUCGAUGAAGAACGCAGCGAAAUGCGAUAAGUAAUGUGAAUUGCAGAAUUCAGUGAAUCAUCGAGUCUUUGAACGCACAUUGCGCCCCCUGGUAUUCCGGGGGGCAUGCCUGUCCGAGCGUCAUUGCUGCCCUCAAGCACGGCUUGUGUGUUGGGCCCCGUCCCCUCCCCCGGGGACGGGCCCGAAAGGCAGCGGCGGCACCGCGUCCGAUCCUCGAGCGUAUGGGGCUUUGUCACCCGCUCUGUAGGCCCGGCCGGCGCCAGCCGACACCCAACUUUUAUUUCUAAGGUUGACCUCGGAUCAGGUAGGGAUACCCGCUGAACUUAAGCAUAUC